This is a non-coding RNA of Marmota flaviventris (yellow-bellied marmot), 1189 nucleotides long. The record is from RefSeq and is a predicted model, not a curated record. Lineage: Eukaryota; Metazoa; Chordata; Mammalia; Rodentia; Sciuridae.
CUGGGAAUCACCUGCUUCCUAAGUUGGCUUCUUACUAUGAGCCCUACUGACCAGAAGAAGCCUCUAAGAAUUCAAUCCUUCCAUGGAAGACAACCCUUUUUUCCUCCUGUGCUCCAGAACAGAUCUCCUAAAACCUUCAGAAUUCAUCAAGUCAUAGGAGUGUCUUUUCAUUAAUCAUAAUGAGCCCCUUUUGAUCAAACCUGAGUUUAGGCUAAUGGGUGACUUAAGAAACUGCAAAGGGGUGUUUGAGACCUGCUGAGCCAGACCACUGGGAGCCCAAUGGGUCGGACUCAGUUUCAACUCAUCAUGUAGGCAGGGGACAGCUGUGGAGGGGCCUGAGGAGACAAGAAAGGGGACCAAACCUACAUUUCUGAUGGCUUCCCCGGCAGGGAACGUGAAAGGUAUGCACUUUGCAUUUACUAAAUGGAUAGAGGAGUGAAUGACUGGGCUCUUAUGAAGAAGUCUGGGUGUAAAAUCACAAGUGGCACCUCUGAGGUGAUGAUUUUUUUUUCUCUUUUUCCAAAUCAAUUCAGAGAAUGUCAUUCAGCUUGAAAAAUGAAGAAUCUGGAUUGAAUACAAGAUAUAAGGCACAGUCAGCUGCUUAGUGUGAUUGUUCUCAAUAGCUGGGCCUUGACUCCUUGCUGGUCUGUCACAGGCAAUUUGUUGGUAGUAAUUAAGUAGCAGUGUUUGCAAAUGAUUGACACAAUAGAAGAGAGCAGCCUCAAUAUUCUAUCUAUCAAAGUCUCCCUGCUUCCCAAGUACUCAUGGCGUUCUGAUGGACGUGCUUUCUUUGGGGUUGGGAGAGGAAUGGGUGCCAGGCAGGGUACUGGGAAAUCUAGCUGAGUCUGGGGCAUCAGAGAAGGGGUCCUAUCUGAUAUUGGAGUGGGAAAACAUUACAAAAACCUCUGUUCCAAGGAAAGGAAAAUUGCCCCCCUUAAACUCAAAGUAUUGUAGAAUGGAGUAGGUUAUGAUAGAGGUUUUUUCUCCAUUCAUCCUAUCCCCAGGCAAAAUCCUUGAAACUAACCAUUGACCCUUGUAUUACCAGGGUUCUCCAGAGGAAGAGAAUCAACAGGAAGUACAAUUAUAAAAAGGAGACUUAUUAAGUUGGCUCACGUGACCAGAAGCUGGAUAUCCACAAUGGCUGUCUGCAGGCUGGAGAGCUGGAAGAACCAGUAGCUGCAGAGUCCAA